CUCUCGCACUAGCGCCCCGCACCUGUGGCGCCCCUGCUCCGCCCAGUCCCGCGGCCUCCUCGCCCCUAGUCCCCGGCGCUCCCCGCCCCUUCCCGUGGGAUCCGCCCCUCCGCCAGCCCCGCUGGCUUCCCCUCUCCGCCACCCCGGACUCAGAACCUCCCCUCCCCCGCCGGGGCCUGGGCGCGCCUGCCCUUCGCUCCCCGACCUCCUGCUGCAGCUCUGGGCCCCUCGGCCGCUCCCUCCCCUCCUCCCUUGCUCACCCCACGGUUGGCCGCGGAUCUCCAGCACGCCGCCCCAGUCCUCGGCGUCCCGCAGCGCCUGCCAGGGUCGCCGAGCCUCCCCUGCCUCCUGGCCGCCUCUGCAGUGCCGUCCUCCCGGGGCUGGCUCUCUCCCCAGGCCCCCGCUUUGGCCACCCAGGCACUUUCCGCCCUGAGCGUGGCAGCUGCUGCCGGGGGUCCUGGGACCGCGGGAUGGGAACUCCCACGCAGCGUCCCACAGGCUCCUGGCCGCCGCGAGCCCGCGCGACUCGCACGAGCAUGUCCACCCGCAGCGAGGGGCCGGUCACUGCUACGGAGCCCGCCAGAAGGCAAAGCCCCAGACAGCAAAUAGGGAGGCGGCUGGCACCCAGGGAGGCCGAGGCGGGAGGAUCGCUGGAGCCCAGGAGUUCGAGACCUGCCUUGGCAACAUAAAAACUCUGCUUCACAAACACAGGAUAUUGGAAAUGGAAGUGGGCUUUUCAGUGCUUUGGGAACAAUCACAGGAGAUUCUGCCUUGGCUGUAAUCCAGAACGUAUGGAGAUUUGAAGUUGUCGCAAACAUACUUUGAAGGCCACCAGAUGCAGCUGUACAAUUGAAGUCCAUCAGCUCACUUGCCUCAAUAAAGCCUGCCACUGCAUGCAGCUUGUCACUUGCCACUCACAGAUAGGGUUUUGAUAUGACUCUGCAAGCAAUUGAUUUAUGAUGGUCUCUGUGCUGUCAAACCUCUCUGCUAAUGUUCAUCUGUAUUUGCAGCCACUCCCAAGUGCUAGCAUCGCC
Molecule: long non-coding RNA, 1034 nt
Filed under: Homo sapiens (human)
Lineage: Eukaryota; Metazoa; Chordata; Mammalia; Primates; Hominidae
Description: non-protein coding lnc-GOLGA8J-3:4
Source: RNAcentral